This 82-nucleotide transfer RNA is filed under the name Pneumocystis oryctolagi. Its description in RNAcentral is "tRNA-Ser". It matches the Rfam family "tRNA". Rfam says of the family: Transfer RNA (tRNA) molecules are approximately 80 nucleotides in length. Their secondary structure includes four short double-helical elements and three loops (D, anti-codon, and T loops). Further hydrogen bonds mediate the characteristic L-shaped molecular structure. tRNAs have two regions of fundamental functional importance: the anti-codon, which is responsible for specific mRNA codon recognition, and the 3' end, to which the tRNAs corresponding amino acid is attached (by aminoacyl-tRNA synthetases). tRNAs cope with the degeneracy of the genetic code in two manners: having more than one tRNA (with a specific anti-codon) for a particular amino acid; and 'wobble' base-pairing, i.e. permitting non-standard base-pairing at the 3rd anti-codon position. Lineage: Eukaryota; Fungi; Ascomycota; Pneumocystomycetes; Pneumocystales; Pneumocystaceae. The record is from RNAcentral.
GGAAAAAUUGUCACAGGCAAGACACAAUACAUGCUAGGUAUCUCCAACAUUUGGAUUAAGGGUUCGAAUCCCUUUUUUUCCG